RNAcentral lists this ribosomal RNA (478 nucleotides) under uncultured bacterium. RNAcentral describes it as "partial 16S ribosomal RNA". It matches the Rfam family "Bacterial small subunit ribosomal RNA", at positions 28 to 523 of the family's 1533-position model. The record is from RNAcentral.
GACGAACGCUGGCGGCGUGCUUAACACAUGCAAGUCGAACGGUAAGGCCCUUCGGGGUACACGAGUGGCGAACGGGUGAGUAACACGUGGGUGAUCUGCCCUGCACUUCGGGAUAAGCCUGGGAAACUGGGUCUAAUACCGGAUAGGACCACUGCCUGCAUGGGUGGUGGUGGAAAGCUUUUGCGGUGUGGGAUGGGCCCGCGGCCUAUCAGCUUGUUGGUGGGGUGAUGGCCUACCAAGGCGACGACGGGUAGCCGGCCGGGGAGGGUGACCGGCCAGACUGGGACUGGGCUACGGCCCAGACUCCUACGGGAGGCGGCGGAGGGGAAUAUGGCACAAGGGGCGCAAGCCUGAUGCAGCGACGCCGCGUGGGGGAUGACGGCCUUCGGGUUGUAAACCUCUUUCAGCACCGACGAAGCGCAAGUGACGGUAGGUGCAGAAGAAGGACCGGCCAACUACGUGCCAGCCGCCGCCGUAA